AGUGAACGCUGGCGGUAGGCCUAACACAUGCAAGUCGAACGGCAGCACAGUAAGAGCUUGCUCUUACGGGUGGCGAGUGGCGGACGGGUGAGGAAUACAUCGGAAUCUACUUUUUCGUGGGGGAUAACGUAGGGAAACUUACGCUAAUACCGCAUACGACCUACGGGUGAAAGCAGGGGAUCUUCGGACCUUGCGCGAGUGAAUGAGCCGAUGUCGGAUUAGCUAGUUGGCGGGGUAAAGGCCCACCAAGGCGACGCUCCGUAGCUGGUCGGAGAGGAUGAUCAGACACACGGGAACUGAGACACGGUCCAGACUCCGACGGGAGGCAGCAGUGGGGAAUAUUGGACAAUGGGCGCAAGCCUGAUCCAGCCAUACCGCGUGGGUGAAGAAGGCCUUCGGGUUGUAAAGCCCUUUUGUUGGGAAAGAAAAGCAGCAGGUUAAUACCCCGCUGUUCUGACGGUACCCAAAGAAUAAGCACCGGCUAACUUCGUG
RNAcentral lists this ribosomal RNA (492 nucleotides) under uncultured bacterium. RNAcentral's name for it is "partial 16S ribosomal RNA". It matches the Rfam family "Bacterial small subunit ribosomal RNA", at positions 29 to 507 of the family's 1533-position model. The record is from RNAcentral.